RNAcentral lists this ribosomal RNA (253 nucleotides) under uncultured bacterium. RNAcentral describes it as "partial 16S ribosomal RNA". It matches the Rfam family "Bacterial small subunit ribosomal RNA", at positions 524 to 776 of the family's 1533-position model. The record is from RNAcentral.
UACAGAGGUCUCAAGCGUUGUUCGGAUUCAUUGGGCGUAAAGGGUGCGUAGGUGGCGGGGUAAGUCAGGUGUGAAAUUUCGGAGCUUAACUCCGAAACUGCAUUUGAUACUGCGGUGCUUGAGGACUGGAGAGGAGACUGGAAUUCACGGUGUAGCAGUGAAAUGCGUAGAUAUCGUGAGGAAGACCAGUGGCGAAGGCGGGUCUCUGGACAGUUCCUGACACUGAGGCACGAAGGCUAGGGGAGCAAACGGG